AUCCUAGAGUCCUCUUGGUCGGAGGAAAAUGCAUGUCACACUUUCCUGAACCUUCUGGGAAAGAAUGUAAAGGAGGUGCAAAAAAAAAGGAAGAAAGGUCUUUUCGAAAAAAAUUCAAAAGAUUUCACGCUUGUAGGCUUCAAUUUCAGUGUAGACCGGUUGUACGAUAAGAAAAGAAUACUGGAUGCAUCAUAUUGCGCCUAUAAGAAAAAAAGUGAAGACUCUAAACAGAAGUGGGAAUACUUUGCCGCUUUGGAUAACUUAAGCAAGUGCCAGUGGCCAGAAGGAUUUGAAUCGAAACCUCUGUGGUCAAAGGCUGUUUCUCACGAGGUCGAUCCUGACGAAGGUGACUUGGGCAGUGAUGUCGAAAAUGCCUGUUCAAAUGAGGCUGUAUGUGGGGAACUUGAUGAGGCACCUGAUCGAGCACCUAAUAAUACUUUUCCUGAAAAUGAUUACCUAUACGAAGAGGACGCGGAGAUUGAUUUAAAUGUACCGGACACACCAUUAAUAGUACCUUUAUCCCAUCCCACCCAUGAGCCUCCAAAAUCCAAAGCCUAGGAAAAGCUAGAGGCUGACAAAGCAUGACUUGAAGAGGUUACUGAAUGUAAGGAGUUCUUUAUCGACCAACCUUUACUGAAAAAUUCUGACUUGUUCAAAGAAGUUGCUUCACAUCACGUCUAGUGAAGAUAGGUUACACCACUGUCACUUGGUUGAAAGCCCAGCAGAGAUACAAUGCUCUUAUUAAAAAAUUCCACGAAGAGUUUGAUAGA
Molecule: long non-coding RNA, 770 nt
Organism: Frankliniella occidentalis (western flower thrips)
Lineage: Eukaryota; Metazoa; Arthropoda; Insecta; Thysanoptera; Thripidae
Exons: 3
Source: RefSeq, a predicted model, not a curated record